UACGUACUGUGCGAACGUUAUUCGGAAUCACUGGGCUUAAAGGGUGCGUAGGCGGUUACUUAAGUAGGGUGUGAAAUCCCAUGGCUCAACCAUGGAACUGCGCUCUAAACUGGGUGACUUGAGUGAGAUAGGGGUAUGCGGAACUUCCAGUGGAGCGGUGAAAUGUGUAGAUAUUGGAAGGAACACCGGUGGCGAAGGCGGCAUACUGGGUCUUAACUGACGCUGAGGCACGAAAGCUAGGGUAGCGAACGGGAUUAGAUACCCGGGUAGUCC
This 273-nucleotide ribosomal RNA is filed under the name uncultured bacterium. RNAcentral describes it as "partial 16S ribosomal RNA". It matches the Rfam family "Bacterial small subunit ribosomal RNA", at positions 524 to 796 of the family's 1533-position model. The record is from RNAcentral.